GUCCACUAGCUCAGUCAGUAGAGCAUGGGACUCUUAAUCACAGGGUCAUGGGUUCGUACCCCAUAUUGGGCG
RNAcentral lists this transfer RNA (72 nucleotides) under Heterocephalus glaber (naked mole-rat). It matches the Rfam family "tRNA". Rfam says of the family: Transfer RNA (tRNA) molecules are approximately 80 nucleotides in length. Their secondary structure includes four short double-helical elements and three loops (D, anti-codon, and T loops). Further hydrogen bonds mediate the characteristic L-shaped molecular structure. tRNAs have two regions of fundamental functional importance: the anti-codon, which is responsible for specific mRNA codon recognition, and the 3' end, to which the tRNAs corresponding amino acid is attached (by aminoacyl-tRNA synthetases). tRNAs cope with the degeneracy of the genetic code in two manners: having more than one tRNA (with a specific anti-codon) for a particular amino acid; and 'wobble' base-pairing, i.e. permitting non-standard base-pairing at the 3rd anti-codon position. The record is from Rfam by way of RNAcentral. Lineage: Eukaryota; Metazoa; Chordata; Mammalia; Rodentia; Bathyergidae.